Molecule: ribosomal RNA, 229 nt
Filed under: uncultured bacterium
Lineage: Bacteria
Description: partial 16S ribosomal RNA
Rfam family: Bacterial small subunit ribosomal RNA
Source: RNAcentral
UGCGUAGGUGGUUUGAUAAGUCAGAGGUGAAAGCCCACCGCUUAACGGUGGAACUGCCUUUGAUACUGUCAGACUUGAAUAUGGUUGAGGUAGGCGGAAUGUGUUGUGUAGCGGUGAAAUGCAUAGAUAUGACACAGAACGCCGAUUGCGAAGGCAGCUUACUAAGCCAUUAUUGACGCUGAGGCACGAAAGCGUGGGGAGCGAACAGGAUUAGAUACCCUGGUAGUCC